RNAcentral lists this ribosomal RNA (497 nucleotides) under uncultured bacterium. RNAcentral's name for it is "partial 16S ribosomal RNA". It matches the Rfam family "Bacterial small subunit ribosomal RNA", at positions 28 to 507 of the family's 1533-position model. The record is from RNAcentral.
GAUGAACGCUGGCGGCGUGCCUAAUACAUGCAAGUCGAGCGAACGGACGCGAAGCUUGCUUCUCUGAUAUUAGCGGCGGACGGGUGUGUAACACGUGGAUAACAUACCUAUACGACUUGGAUAACUUCGGGAGACCGGAGCUAAAACCGGAUGCUAUUAUGAACCGCAUGGUCCAAGACUGAAAGACGGUGUUGCUGUCACUAAUACAUUGAUCCGCGCUGCAUUCGCUAGUUGGUAAGGUCACGGCUUACCAAGGCAACGAGGCAUAGCCGACAUGAGAGGGUGAUCGGCCACACUGGAAGUGAGACACGGUCCAGACUCCUGCGGGAGGCAGCAGUAGGGAAUCUUCCGCAAUGGGCGAAAGCCUGACGGAGCAACGCCGCGGGAGUGAUGAAGGUCUUCGGAUCGUAAAACUCUGUUAUUAGGGAAGAACAUAUGUGUAAGUAACUGUGCACAUCUUGACGGUACCUAAUCAGAAAGCCACGGCUAACUACGUG